Molecule: ribosomal RNA, 389 nt
Filed under: Gymnodiniales sp.
Lineage: Eukaryota; Dinophyceae; Gymnodiniales
Description: partial small subunit ribosomal RNA
Rfam family: Eukaryotic small subunit ribosomal RNA
Source: RNAcentral
AUUCCAGCUCCAAUAGCGUAUAUUAAAGUUGUUGCGGUUAAAAAGCUCGUAGUUGGAUUUCUGCUGAGGACGACCGGUCCGCCCUCUGGGUGAGUAUCUGGCUUGGCCUUGGCAUCUUCUUGGAGAACGUAGCUGCACUUGACUGUGUGGUGCGGUAUCCAGGACUUUUACUUUGAGGAAAUUAGAGUGUUUCAAGCAGGCACACGCCUUGAAUACAUUAGCAUGGAAUAAUAAGAUAGGACCUUGGUUCUAUUUUGUUGGUUUCUAGAGCUGAGGUAAUGAUUGAUAGGGAUAGUUGGGGGCAUUCGUAUUUAACUGUCAGAGGUGAAAUUCUCAGACCAGCGGAAGACGAACCACUGCGAAAGCAUUUGCCAGGGAUGUUUUCAUCG